Brachypodium distachyon (stiff brome) is the source of this 713-nucleotide long non-coding RNA. RefSeq lists it as uncharacterized. The transcript has 3 exons. Lineage: Eukaryota; Viridiplantae; Streptophyta; Magnoliopsida; Poales; Poaceae. The record is from RefSeq and is a predicted model, not a curated record.
AAAAAGGCUCUGCACUUUUGAUCGUUAUCCCUAAUCUUAUAUUCUAAUCUACUUGAAAUAAAAGCUCUUUAUAUACAGAUGCAACCUGCAGCGCUCUGCAAAGCAGAAAACAGCAACCGGUCAUAGAAGAGCACCAAAGUUAGAGUGAGGGAUAAAGAGAGCAACGGGCGACGAUGGGUCAGAGUCCUCUUCUCCGGCUACCGGCGGUGGCCGAGCAGGUCCAGCCAGUGGAGGCGACGACCGGUGGAAGCAACAGGAAGGAACAGCUUGGCAAGUCUACAAAAUCUGCAAAUAAGUACUACAAGAACUCAAGCAAAGACGACCUUGUUUUAAGGGCGACGCUGGAGUCGAUCACUAGACUUGGAUAAAAGUGAAAAUCUGGUCCAAAAAACAAAAGAAAAGAACACGAAAUCAUGGUGAUCGCACUAAUAUCACCUUGUCUACUGAUAAUUUCUAAGAGGAUGGAGCUGCCCGUGUGUUAUCUAUUAGUUUAUCAAGAAAAAGGAAAAAUAUUGUGUCUCUAUUAUGGCCUUUUGUACUUAUAAUCUCAAGCUUUUGGCUUAUUAACAACUGGCGUGUUAAUUCAGGCAUUUUAGAGACUCAUCAGUACUUAUAAUGGAAUAUAAUGUGUACUACUACUUAAAUGUACUUUGCUACUCUUCGCCUAUUGUACUUAGAUAAAUAAUUCAUAUGAGUUUUAUUUUUGACAAAAA